Molecule: ribosomal RNA, 1019 nt
Filed under: uncultured organism
Description: bacterial SSU rRNA
Rfam family: Bacterial small subunit ribosomal RNA
Source: RNAcentral
GAGGAAUAUUGGUCAAUGGACGAGAGUCUGAACCAGCCAAGUAGCGUGAAGGAUGAAGGUUCUAUGGAUUGUAAACUUCUUUUAUACGGGAAUAAACGAAUCCACGCGUGGAUUUUUGCAUGUACCGUAUGAAUAAGGAUCGGCUAACUCCGUGCCAGCAGCCGCGGUAAUACGGAGGAUCCGAGCGUUAUCCGGAUUUAUUGGGUUUAAAGGGAGCGUAGAUGGGUUGUUAAGUCAGUUGUGAAAGUUUGCGGCUCAACCGUAAAAUUGCAAUUGAUACUGGCAGUCUUGAGUACAGUUGAGGUAGGCGGAAUUCGUGGUGUAGCGGUGAAAUGCUUAGAUAUCACGAAGAACUCCGAUUGCGAAGGCAGCUUACUAACCUGUAACUGACAUUGAUGCUCGAAAGUGUGGGUAUCAAACAGGAUUAGAUACCCUGGUAGUCCACACGGUAAACGAUGAAUACUCGCUGUAGGCGAUAUACAGUCUGCGGCCAAGCGAAAGCAUUAAGUAUUCCACCUGGGGAGUACGCCGGCAACGGUGAAACUCAAAGGAAUUGACGGGGGCCCGCACAAGCGGAGGAACAUGUGGUUUAAUUCGAUGAUACGCGAGGAAUCUUACCCGGGCUUAAAUUGCAACCGAAUAUGGCGGAAACGCUAUAGCUAGCAAUAGCGGUUGUGAAGGUGCUGCAUGGUUGUCGUCAGCUCGUGCCGUGAGGUGUCGGCUUAAGUGCCAUAACGAGCGCAACCCUUGCCGAUAGUUACUAACAGGUUAUGCUGAGGACUCUGUCGGGACUGCCAUCGUAAGAUGUGAGGAAGGUGGGGAUGACGUCAAAUCAGCACGGCCCUUACGUCCGGGGCUACACACGUGUUACAAUGGGGGGUACAGAGGGCUGCUACCACGCAAGUGGAUGCCAAUCCCAAAAACCUCUCUCAGUUCGGAUUGAAGUCUGCAACCCGACUUCAUGAAGCUGGAUUCGCUAGUAAUCGCGCAUCAGCCACGGCGCGGUGAAUACGUUCCCG